GGUUAAAUGGCUGAAAAUAGGCAAUAGAUUGUAAAUCUAUUUAUAAGAAUAUCUUCUUUUUAACCA
Molecule: transfer RNA, 66 nt
Filed under: Suillia notata
Lineage: Eukaryota; Metazoa; Arthropoda; Insecta; Diptera; Heleomyzidae
Description: tRNA-Tyr
Source: RNAcentral